GCUUGUCUCAAAGAUUAAGCCAUGCAUGUCUAAGUAUAAACUAAUUUAUACGGUGAAACUGCGAAUGGCUCAUUAAAUCAGUUAUAGUUUAUUUGAUGGUUGAUUACUACGUGGAUAACCGUGGUAAUUCUAGAGCUAAUACAUGCCUACAAGCCCGACUUCUGGAAGGGUGGUAUUUAUUAGAUAAAAAUCAACUUUGUUGGUGAAUCAUAAUAACUUCUCGGACCGCAUGGCCUCGUGCUGGCGGUGCUUCAUUCAAAUAUCUGCCCUAUCAACUGUCGAUGGUAGGAUAGAGGCCUACCAUGGUUGCAACGGGUAACGGGGAAUAAGGGUUCGAUUCCGGAGAGGGAGCCUGAGAAACGGCUACCACAUCCAAGGAAGGCAGCAGG
This 389-nucleotide ribosomal RNA is filed under the name Malassezia restricta. Its description in RNAcentral is "partial small subunit ribosomal RNA". It matches the Rfam family "Eukaryotic small subunit ribosomal RNA", at positions 30 to 432 of the family's 1831-position model. Lineage: Eukaryota; Fungi; Basidiomycota; Malasseziomycetes; Malasseziales; Malasseziaceae. The record is from RNAcentral.